Molecule: signal recognition particle RNA, 310 nt
Filed under: Methanobacteriota archaeon
Lineage: Archaea; Methanobacteriati; Methanobacteriota
Description: Euryarchaeota archaeon (anaerobic digester metagenome) signal recognition particle sRNA
Rfam family: Archaeal signal recognition particle RNA
Source: RNAcentral
UGCUAGGCUCGACCGGGACGUUCGGCGCGUCCUUAUACACCGCGACGUCGAUAGCGGGGGUGACAGGAAAGGACGUCGUAACCGGAGAGGUGCGGGCCCUGUCGGUGACCAUGAGGCUCUGUCCCAUGGGGUUGGAAGAGUCAUAGAGGUGCGAUCGGAGGGUCGCGCGCUAUGUCAUAGUCAUGGGGAGCGGGUCAGGCCCUGACGGGAGCAGCCUUACCAUGAAUUACCAACGCUCAGGGGGUAGCGGGGCUGAGAAACUUGCAGGAUAACCUUCAUCAAUUCGAGCGGCAACCUUUCUAGCCUAGCA